AUUGAACGCUGGCGGCAGGCCUAACACAUGCAAGUCGGACGGUAGCACAGAGGAGCUUGCUCCUCGGGUGACGAGUGGCGGACGGGUGAGUAAUGUCUGGGGAUCUGCCCGAUAGAGGGGGAUAACCACUGGAAACGGUGGCUAAUACCGCAUAACGUCGCAAGACCAAAGAGGGGGACCUUCGGGCCUCUCACUAUCGGAUGAACCCAGAUGGGAUUAGCUAGUAGGCGGGGUAAUGGCCCACCUAGGCGAGGAUCCCUAGCUGGUCUGAGAGAAUAACCAGCCACACUGGAACUGAGACACGGUCCAGACUCCUACGGGAGGCAGCAGUGGGGAAUAUUGCACAAUGGGCGCAAGCCUGAUGCAGCCAUGCCGCGUGUAUGAAGAAGGCCUUCGGGUUGUAAAGUACUUUCAGCGGGGAGGAAGGCGGUGCGGUUAAUAACCGCGCCGAUUGACGUUACCCGCAGAAGAAGCACCGGCUAACUCCGUGCCAGCCGCCGCCGUAA
RNAcentral lists this ribosomal RNA (506 nucleotides) under uncultured bacterium. RNAcentral's name for it is "partial 16S ribosomal RNA". It matches the Rfam family "Bacterial small subunit ribosomal RNA", at positions 29 to 523 of the family's 1533-position model. The record is from RNAcentral.